AUAUUUAAAAAGAACUCGGCAAAAAGACUCUUGCCUGUUUAACAAAAACAUGUCUAUAUGAAGGUAUAUAUAGUUUAACCUGCUCACUGAUUAUAUUAAAGAGCCGCAGUAUUCUGACUGUGCGAAGGUAGCAUAAUAAAUUGUCUUUUAAAUGAAGGCUUGAAUGAAAGGUUGGACAAAGUGUCAUCUGUUUCUUAAAUAUUUAUUGAAUUUGACUUUCAAGUGAAAAGGCUUGAAUAAAUUAAAAAGACGAUAAGACCCUAUAAAUCUUUACAAUAAAUAAAUUUCAUAUUUUAAUUUAUAAGUAUAUAAGAUAUUAAAUUUAAUAGUUGUUUCGCUGGGGCGGCGUAGAUAUAUAAAUAAACUGUCUAUAUAUUAAAUUCAAUAAUUGUUGAUUAAUUAUAUUGAUCCUUAAAUAGAUUAAAAGAUUAAGAUACUUUAGGGAUAACAGCGUUAUUUUUUCUGAGAGUUCUUAUCGAAGAAAAAGUUUGCGACCUCGAUGUUGAAUUAAAGUAUCUUUAUUGGUGUAGCCGCUAUAAGAGAGAGUCUGUUCGACUUUUAAUACUUUACAUGAUUUGAGUUCAGAUCGGCGUGAGCAGGUUGGUUUCUAUCUUUUAUUAAAUGUAAAAUUAUUUUAGUACGAAAGGACCAAAUAAUUAAAAAAUUUUUAUAAUUUAGAAUAUUAAUAUCUUCUUAAUUAUUAGUUUAUAAACUAAAUAAUAUUAUAAAAUAAUAAAGAAGAAAGCAUUUA
Molecule: ribosomal RNA, 751 nt
Filed under: Pagurus maculosus
Lineage: Eukaryota; Metazoa; Arthropoda; Malacostraca; Decapoda; Paguridae
Description: 16S ribosomal RNA
Rfam family: Bacterial large subunit ribosomal RNA
Source: RNAcentral